Molecule: unclassified non-coding RNA, 332 nt
Filed under: soil metagenome
Description: partial contains 5.8S ribosomal RNA, internal transcribed spacer 2, and large subunit ribosomal RNA
Rfam family: 5.8S ribosomal RNA (bases 1-120)
Source: RNAcentral
GAUGAAGAACGCAGCAAAAUGCGAUAAGUAAUGUGAAUUGCAGAAUUCAGUGAAUCAUCGAAUCUUUGAACGCACAUUGCGCCCGCCAGUAUUCUGGCGGGCAUGCCUGUUCGAGCGUCAUUUCAACCCUCAAGCACAGCUUGGUGUUGGGACUCGCGUUAAUUCGCGUUCCCCAAAUUGAUUGGCGGUCACGUCGAGCUUCCAUAGCGUAGUAGUAAAACCCUCGUUACUGGUAAUCGUCGCGGCCACGCCGUUAAACCCCAACUUCUGAAUGUUGACCUCGGAUCAGGUAGGAAUACCUGCUGAACUUAAGCAUAUCAAUAAGCGGAGGA